This 497-nucleotide ribosomal RNA is filed under the name Acanthocercus annectans. RNAcentral's name for it is "partial 16S ribosomal RNA". It matches the Rfam family "Bacterial large subunit ribosomal RNA", at positions 1817 to 2597 of the family's 2925-position model. Lineage: Eukaryota; Metazoa; Chordata; Lepidosauria; Squamata; Agamidae. The record is from RNAcentral.
AGCCAUUAGCCAAACAAGUACUAAAGGUAACGCCUGCCCAGUGAGUUAACACUUAAACGGCCGCGAUUAAACGCGCGAAGGUAGCGCAAUCACUUGUUUCAUAAAUUGAGACCCGUAUGAAUGGCCACAUGAGAAAGAAACUGUCUCUUGAAGGUAACCGAUGAAACUGAUCUUCCUGUACAAAAGCAGGAAUAAUAAAGCAAGACAAAAAGACCCUGUGAAACUUAAAACAAAGCAUUAAAAUAAUAAUGCCCAACUUUUAGUUGGGGCAACUUAAGAUAUACAAAACAUCUUACUACGUCUAAACCAACAAGUUUUAACUACUAAACACAUGACCCGGCACUGCCGAUCAACGAACCAAGCUACUCCAGGGAUAACAGCGCUAAAUUCUUUAAGAGUCCAUAUCAACAAGAAUUAUUACGACCUCGAUGUUGGAUCAGGGCACCCAAACAGUGCAGAAGCUGUUAACGGUUCGUUUGUUCAACGACUAAGACCCU